UACGGAGGGUGCAAGCGUUAUCCGGAGUUACUGGGCGUAAAGCGUGCGUAGGCGGUGUCUUAAGUUUGUUGUGAAAUCUCCCGGCUUAACCGGGAGGGUGCGGCGAAUACUGAGAUGCUGGAGUACGGGAGAGGUAAGCGGAAUUCCUGGUGUAGCGGUGAAAUGCGUAGAUAUCAGGAGGAACACCUGCGGUGUAGACGGCUUACUGGACCGUAACUGACGCUGAGGCACGAAAGCGUGGGUAGCAAACAGG
RNAcentral lists this ribosomal RNA (253 nucleotides) under uncultured bacterium. RNAcentral's name for it is "partial 16S ribosomal RNA". It matches the Rfam family "Bacterial small subunit ribosomal RNA", at positions 524 to 776 of the family's 1533-position model. The record is from RNAcentral.